RNAcentral lists this long non-coding RNA (499 nucleotides) under Calidris pugnax (ruff). RNAcentral describes it as "lncRNA (ENSCPUG00000017907.1)". The record is from RNAcentral. Lineage: Eukaryota; Metazoa; Chordata; Aves; Charadriiformes; Scolopacidae.
AUCACUGGUAUGCUGAUAAUGAUGGAGCCAUGAGGUGUGAUCUGAUACAGCCUGCAACAGGAGGGAGCAGCCAGCAGGGCUUGUACAUCAGCAGAAUGGUUCAGGAACAUUGGAUGUCAUUUGGUUUCAAGAGCCACCUUGAAAGUGAUGAGUUGCUGCUCACCAGAUGUACUUCUUUGUUAUUAUUUACCUAGUGACCGAAUUUUUACGGUCCCUUCACAGACGUCCUCACAAAGUAAAAAUCCAUCCGUAAGUAAAAAAAUCCCGAAUCCUCUCUGUUUGUGCUUUGACCUAUGAUAAUAGUUGCAGAGUGGUAGCUUUGAAAGUCAGCAUCUCAGUACCAGUUGUACAAAAGCAGCACCACCAUCUAUAUCCUCUUGUCGUGACUCCGUAUGGAAUUGGGAUCAGACUAUACUGCAAAAAAAGAGAUCUUCUUGAUUCUCUAAUUCCUUCAGGAACCUGCAGUCAUAUUUUCCAAUAAAUAUGCACGGUAAAGACA